GCUUAACACAUGCAAGUCGAGGGGCAGCAUGGUCUUAGCUUGCUAAGGCCGAUGGCGACCGGCGCACGGGUGAGUAACACGUAUCCAACCUGCCGUCUACUCUUGGACAGCCUUCUGAAAGGAAGAUUAAUACAAGAUGGCAUCAUGAGUCCACAUGUUCACAUGAUUAAAGGUAUUCCGGUAGACGAUGGGGAUGCGUUCCAUUAGAUAGUAGGCGGGGUAACGGCCCACCUAGUCUUCGAUGGAUAGGGGUUCUGAGAGGAAGGUCCCCCACAUUGGAACUGAGACACGGUCCAAACUCCUACGGGAGGCAGCAGUGAGGAAUAUUGGUCAAUGGGCGAGAGCCUGAACCAGCCAAGUAGCGUGAAGGAUGACUGCCCUAUGGGUUGUAAACUUCUUUUAUAAAGGAAUAAAGUCGGGUAUGGAUACCCGUUUGCAUGUACUUUAUGAAUAAGGAUCGGCUAACUCCGUGCCAGCAGCCGCGGUAAUACGGAGGAUCCGAGCGUUAUCCGGAUUUAUUGGGUUUAAAGGGAGCGUAGAUGGAUGUUUAAGUCAGUUGUGAAAGUUUGCGGCUCAACCGUAAAAUUGCAGUUGAUACUGGAUAUCUUGAGUGCAGUUGAGGCAGGCGGAAUUCGUGGUGUAGCGGUGAAAUGCUUAGAUAUCACGAAGAACUCCGAUUGCGAAGGCAGCCUGCUAAGCUGCAACUGACAUUGAGGCUCGAAAGUGUGGGUAUCAAACAGGAUUAGAUACCCUGGUAGUCCACACGGUAAACGAUGAAUACUCGCUGUUUGCGAUAUACAGCAAGCGGCCAAGCGAAAGCGUUAAGUAUUCCACCUGGGGAGUACGCCGGCAACGGUGAAACUCAAAGGAAUUGACGGGGGCCCGCACAAGCGGAGGAACAUGUGGUUUAAUUCGAUGAUACGCGAGGAACCUUACCCGGGCUUAAAUUGCAGAUGAAUUACGGUGAAAGCCGUAAGCCGCAAGGCAUCUGUGAAGGUGCUGCAUGGUUGUCGUCAGCUUGUGCCGUGAGGUGUCGGCUUAAGUGCCAUAACGAGCGCAACCCUUGUUGUCAGUUACUAACAGGUUCCGCUGAGGACUCUGACAAGACUGCCAUCGUAAGAUGUGAGGAAGGUGGGGAUGACGUCAAAUCAGCACGGCCCUUACGUCCGGGGCUACACACGUGUUACAAUGGGGGGUACAGAGGGCCGCUACCACGCGAGUGGAUGCCAAUCCCAAAAACCUCUCUCAGUUCGGACUGGAGUCUGCAACCCGACUCCACGAAGCUGGAUUCGCUAGUAAUCGCGCAUCAGCCACGGCGCGGUGAAUACGUUCCCGGGCCUUGUACACACCGCCCGUCAAGCCAUGGGAGCCGGGGGUACCUGAAGUGCGUAACCGCGAGGAGCGCCCUAGGGUAAAACUGGUGACUGGGGCUAAGUCAUAACA
This 1443-nucleotide ribosomal RNA is filed under the name uncultured organism. Its description in RNAcentral is "16S ribosomal RNA". It matches the Rfam family "Bacterial small subunit ribosomal RNA". The record is from RNAcentral.